Molecule: ribosomal RNA, 253 nt
Filed under: uncultured bacterium
Lineage: Bacteria
Description: partial 16S ribosomal RNA
Rfam family: Bacterial small subunit ribosomal RNA
Source: RNAcentral
UACGUAGGGUGCGAGCGUUAAUCGGAAUUACUGGGCGUAAAGCGUGCGCAGGCGGUUCGUUAAGUCAGAUGUGAAAGCCCCGGGCUCAACCUGGGAACUGCAUUUGAAACUGGCGGGCUUGAGUAUGGCAGAGGGGGGUGGAAUUCCGCGUGUAGCAGUGAAAUGCGUAGAGAUGCGGAGGAACACCGGUGGCGAAGGCGGGAUCCUGGGCCAGUACUGACGCUGAGGUGCGAAAGCGUGGGGAGCAAACAGG